AUCUACGGCCAUGUCACCCUGAACGUGCCUGAUCUCGUCUGAUCUCGGAAGCUAAGCAGGGUCAGGCCUGGUUAGUACUUGAAUGGGAGACCACCUAGGAUAGACCAGGUGCUGUAGGCG
Pteropus alecto (black flying fox) is the source of this 120-nucleotide non-coding RNA. Lineage: Eukaryota; Metazoa; Chordata; Mammalia; Chiroptera; Pteropodidae. The record is from Rfam.